UACAGAGGUCCCAAGCGUUGUUCGGAUUCACUGGGCGUAAAGGGUGCGAAGGCGGUCGGGUAAGUCUGAUGUGAAAUCUCACAGCUUAACUGUGAAACUGCAUUGGAUACUAUUCGGCUUGAGAGUUGGAGGGGGGACUGGAAUUCUUGGUGUAGCAGUGAAAUGCGUAGAUAUCAAGAGGAACACCAGUGGCGAAGGCGAGUCCCUGGACAACUUCUGACGCUGAGGCACGAAAGCUAGGGGAGCAAACAGG
This 253-nucleotide ribosomal RNA is filed under the name uncultured bacterium. RNAcentral describes it as "partial 16S ribosomal RNA". It matches the Rfam family "Bacterial small subunit ribosomal RNA", at positions 524 to 776 of the family's 1533-position model. The record is from RNAcentral.